Molecule: ribosomal RNA, 497 nt
Filed under: uncultured beta proteobacterium
Lineage: Bacteria; Pseudomonadati; Pseudomonadota; Betaproteobacteria
Description: bacterial SSU rRNA
Rfam family: Bacterial small subunit ribosomal RNA
Source: RNAcentral
GGCGGCAUGCCUUACACAUGCAAGUCGAACGGCAGCACGGGGGCAACCUUGGUGGCGAGUGGCGAACGGGUGAGUAACAUAUCGGAACGUACCCAAGAGCGGGGGAUAACGCAGCGAAAGUUGCGCUAAUACCGCAUACGAUCUACGGAUGAAAGUGGGGGAUUCGCAAGGACCUCACACUCCUGGAGCGGCCGAUAUCUGAUUAGCUAGUUGGGGAGGUAAAAGCUCACCAAGGCGACGAUCAGUAGCUGGUCUGAGAGGACGACCAGCCACACUGGAACUGAGACACGGUCCAGACUCCUACGGGAGGCAGCAGUGGGGAAUUUUGGACAAUGGGCGCAAGCCUGAUCCAGCAAUGCCGCGUGAGUGAAGAAGGCCUUCGGGUUGUAAAGCUCUUUUGUCAGGGAAGAAACGGUGUUUCCUAAUAUGGAAUGCUAAUGACGGUACCUGAAGAAUAAGCACCGGCUAACUACGUGCCAGCAGCCGCGGUAAUACGU